Lathyrus oleraceus (garden pea) is the source of this 665-nucleotide long non-coding RNA. RefSeq lists it as uncharacterized. Lineage: Eukaryota; Viridiplantae; Streptophyta; Magnoliopsida; Fabales; Fabaceae. The record is from RefSeq and is a predicted model, not a curated record. The transcript has 2 exons.
UAAAGGACUGAUAACAAGAUUCAUAUAACAGAAUUGAGAGCUACCUCUAACCAAUUCAUAACUUCACUCUAACAGAAUCCAACAAUGACCACAACAGAAAUCAUAACCGAAACUAACUUUGUGUUUUAACCUCUAACUGAUUUUCAUUUGAACCAACUAACAGGGUUAACAUUCCGUUAAUCGAUUCCAUCUAUAAAUGCAUCGUUCACCAAACUCGGAAGGGGUCGACGAUUUCAGUUCAACUAACUAGAAGAUUUCUCUCUCUCACCGAAAAAGACUCGAUUUUCAACAUGUUUCUAGAAGAAGGAAGGGCUUCGAGAAGAAGAAGAAGACAGUGAAGAAGAGUCGGAGCGCGAGGAGGGAGAUUACGUACCGUUUUCACCGUCGUCGUCACUCGAAUCAUAUUCUCCGGCAAAGUAACGAGAAAUGAGUUGAGUAGAAGCGAAUGCUUGGAGUCUAGUGUAGUCUCCUUAGUGGGUCAUGCUCUGAUAGAUGUAACAUCGGGAGGGAACCUUUUAAUUAUGUUGUUAAUGAUUGUUGAACCAGUUUACAUGUAGUAUGUUACAUGUUUUGAUUGAUUUGAUUUAUAUCCGCUGCGAUUUAUGCAAAUGUUUAAUUGAUUAAAUAAAUGAGCAUGACCAGCUACUUUGAUGAAUAUUGUGAAA